UUUGACCUCAAAUCAGGUAGGACUACCCGCUGAACUUAAGCAUAUCAAUAAGCGGAGGAAAAGAAACCAACAGGGAUUGCCUCAGUAGCGGCGAGUGAAGCGGCAAAAGCUCAAAUUUGAAAUCUGGCGUCUUUGGCGUCCGAGUUGUAAUUUGAAGAAGGUAUCUUUGGGCCCGGCUCUUGUCUAUGUUCCUUGGAACAGGACGUCNCAGAGGGUGAGAAUCCCGUGCGAUGAGAUGACCCNGGUCUGUGUAAAGUUCCUUCGACGAG
RNAcentral lists this ribosomal RNA (269 nucleotides) under Candida albicans. RNAcentral's name for it is "partial 28S ribosomal RNA". It matches the Rfam family "Eukaryotic large subunit ribosomal RNA", at positions 1 to 264 of the family's 3401-position model. Lineage: Eukaryota; Fungi; Ascomycota; Pichiomycetes; Serinales; Debaryomycetaceae. The record is from RNAcentral.